This 67-nucleotide transfer RNA is filed under the name Drepanepteryx phalaenoides. Its description in RNAcentral is "tRNA-Phe". The record is from RNAcentral. Lineage: Eukaryota; Metazoa; Arthropoda; Insecta; Neuroptera; Hemerobiidae.
AUUUAAAUAGCUUAAAUUUUAAAGCGUAGUAUUGAAGAUACUAAAAUGAUAUUAUUAUCUUUAAAUA